GACGAACGCUGGCGGCGUGCCUAACACAUGCAAGUCGAACGGUAAGGCCCUUCGGGGUACACGAGUGGCGAACGGGUGAGUAACACGUGGGUGAUCUGCCCUGCACUUCGGGAUAAGCCUGGGAAACUGGGUCUAAUACCGGAUAGGACCACUGCCUGCAUGGGUGGUGGUGGAAAGCUUUUGCGGUGUGGGAUGGGCCCGCGGCCUAUCAGCUUGUUGGUGGGGUGAUGGCCUACCAAGGCGACGACGGGUAGCCGGCCUGAGAGGGUGACCGGCCACACUGGGACUGAGAUACGGCCCAGACUCCUACGGGAGGCAGCGGUGGGGAAUAUUGCACAAUGGGCGCAAGCCUGAUGCAGCGACGCCGCGUGAGGGAUGACGGCCUUCGGGUUGUAAACCUCUUUCAGCACCGACGAAGCGCAAGUGACGGUAGGUGCAGAAGAAGGACCGGCCAACUACGUGCCAGCCGCCGCAGUAA
This 478-nucleotide ribosomal RNA is filed under the name uncultured bacterium. RNAcentral's name for it is "partial 16S ribosomal RNA". It matches the Rfam family "Bacterial small subunit ribosomal RNA", at positions 28 to 523 of the family's 1533-position model. The record is from RNAcentral.